RNAcentral lists this ribosomal RNA (409 nucleotides) under uncultured bacterium. RNAcentral describes it as "bacterial LSU rRNA". It matches the Rfam family "Bacterial large subunit ribosomal RNA", at positions 1873 to 2280 of the family's 2925-position model. The record is from RNAcentral.
AAGGUUAAUUGAUGGGGUUAGCGAAAGCGAAGCUCUUGAUCGAAGCCCCAGUAAACGGCGGCCGUAACAAUAACGGUCCUAAGGUAGCGAAAUUCCUUGUCGGGUAAGUUCCGACCUGCACGAAUGGCAUAAUGAUGGCGGCGCUGUCUCCACCAGAGACUCAGUGAAAUCGAAAAUCGCGGUGAAGAUGCCGUGUACCCGCGGCUAGACGGAAAGACCCCGUGAACCUUUACUGCAGCUUUGCAUUGAACUUUGACCUUACUUGUGUAGGAUAGGUGGGAGGCUUUGAAGUACGAACGCUAGUUUGUAUGGAGCCAUUCUUGAAAUACCACCCUGGUAAUGUUGAGGUUCUAACCCAGCUCCCUGAUCGGGAGCGGGGACAGUGUAUGGUGGGUAGUUUGACUGGGGC